Molecule: ribosomal RNA, 465 nt
Filed under: Vreelandella stevensii
Lineage: Bacteria; Pseudomonadati; Pseudomonadota; Gammaproteobacteria; Oceanospirillales; Halomonadaceae
Description: partial 16S ribosomal RNA
Rfam family: Bacterial small subunit ribosomal RNA
Source: RNAcentral
CAUACGGGUGGCUGCAGUGGGGAAUAUUGGACAAUGGGCGAAAGCCUGAUCCAGCCAUGCCGCGUGUGUGAAGAAGGCCUUCGGGUUGUAAAGCACUUUCAGUGGGGAAGAAAGCCUUGGGGCUAAUACCCUCGAGGAAGGACAUCACCCACAGAAGAAGCACCGGCUAACUCCGUGCCAGCAGCCGCGGUAAUACGGAGGGUGCGAGCGUUAAUCGGAAUUACUGGGCGUAAAGCGCGCGUAGGCGGUCUGAUAAGCCGGUUGUGAAAGCCCCGGGCUCAACCUGGGAACGGCAUCCGGAACUGUCAGGCUAGAGUGCAGGAGAGGAAGGUAGAAUUCCCGGUGUAGCGGUGAAAUGCGUAGAGAUCGGGAGGAAUACCAGUGGCGAAGGCGGCCUUCUGGACUGACACUGACGCUGAGGUGCGAAAGCGUGGGUAGCAAACAGGAUUAGAUACCCGAGUAGUC